GGAAUUGCAGAAUUAGUGAAUCAUCGAAUCUUUGAACGCACAUUGCGCCCCUUGGUAUCCCGAGGGGCAUGCCUGUUCGAGCGUCAUU
This 88-nucleotide ribosomal RNA is filed under the name uncultured fungus. RNAcentral's name for it is "partial 5.8S ribosomal RNA". It matches the Rfam family "5.8S ribosomal RNA", at positions 68 to 154 of the family's 154-position model. From Rfam's summary of the family: 5.8S ribosomal RNA (5.8S rRNA) is a component of the large subunit of the eukaryotic ribosome. It is transcribed by RNA polymerase I as part of the 45S precursor that also contains 18S and 28S rRNA. Lineage: Eukaryota; Fungi. The record is from RNAcentral.